Hemicordylus capensis (graceful crag lizard) is the source of this 846-nucleotide long non-coding RNA. RefSeq lists it as uncharacterized. The record is from RefSeq and is a predicted model, not a curated record. NCBI's taxonomy places the organism in Eukaryota, Metazoa, Chordata, Lepidosauria, Squamata, Cordylidae. The transcript is spliced from 2 exons.
GUUUAUGACAUCAUCAUGGUGGGCCACUCCCUUACUUUGGUUGUCUGUCUGGGACAUACACAACAGCAUGUCUCUAUCCAGCCAAGGAUAUGAUGUAUACAGACACAACUUUGAUGCAUAUGCUUGUCCAGAGAGGAGCAAUCGCUUCUAAAUGUCACCCUCCCCCCACACACUGCUGACCUUAUCAGAGAGCAGGAUCGAUACACCAACCCUUUUGGAGUGCAAAGCUGCACGUGAAUGCUGAAGAGAAGCAAUUAAAAUGGAAUUUCAGGGAUGAAGAAAAAAGAUUUCCUCCAUUGUGUCCCCAGGGAGAAAAACGAAUGAUCCAAAAGCAACUGCGGCUCUUGGAAUUAUCAUAAACAUAAUUGGUAUUUGAUAAAGCAGGAAAUGAAACAUAAUGUCCAUUAAUCAUGGUGACAACUGUAGAGUUCCACAUGUGCCAUGGUGCAGAUGUGCCUGAAGCAAACUCUGUGCUGAUUGACUCCCAGGAUCUGUGGAGAGCUCCUUAUGGGCACCUGGAAGAUAAGCUUGGAAACUUUUGCCCUACAAGUCCACAAGUUGCCCAGGGCAGGACUGCUGCUGUCUUGCUGAGACAUGAACUCUGUGUUACCUAGAACAACAAAUAAUCCUAUGGCAUCAGAAAUAUACAACAUUUUCCUGUGACACUUGGAUAAUAUUAAGGAAAUUCUUUUAACUGCCCUUACAAUUUCUACAGAAGUUUUUGGCUAAGCAAAAGUUGGCCUCAAAUUUUGCUUAAAUGAAAGGCAGAGAUGUGUUUGCGGAAAAUGCUUAGAGACAUUUCAUUAUCAUAGAAAAAUAAUUUUAACAUGAAAGUGUUUGUCAUGA